CCCUUCUCCCCCUCUUUUUUCACUCACCUCUCCAGCUUGCCAUGCAAGCCACCUUCCCCUCUCAAUUUCUCUCCUGUAUAUCUCCCUUUUCUAAUGCAUUCUUUCUCUCUUCCGCCAUGUCUUAUCUAGUUCUCCCUUCUCCUCCCUCUCUUUUUCUCUUUUGUUUUCCUUUUCUAUUGCAUUCUUUCUCUCUCCCGCCGUGCUUUUUUCUUACUUGUGCUUUUUCCCUGUUGAUUUUAAACAUAUAGGGGUUACUGUUUUUUUGUUGUUACAGGGAUGAGAUCGAUGUUGAACAUGGAGGAAAACCCAAGGAGGCAACCUUUUUUCCCCUUGGCAGACGAUCUGAUAGAUGAAGAAUUUUACGACGAACAGUUGCCAGAAAAAGAAACAACGGCUCAUUCCAAAGCAGGUUUUUCUUCUGCUCAAUUGCUCUUACCUAUUCAGGUUUGUUACCUGAAGAUCACUGAGAAAAGUGGAUCCCAGGAUCUUCCAUGGGUGAGAUUUAAAAUUGAAUGGCUAAAAGUGUUGGCUAAUUAAUGGAGAGGCAAUGCGUGCUACCAUCAAAUAUUUUCAAGUGGAACCAUGACUGGUUUGUUUUUUAUUGAAAAUGGAAGAUGAUCAGUUGGGACUACCGCAAGUUUGAUUCUGUCUUGGCGUUUAAUCACAAAUAAUUAGUCAUGGUGAGAGACGAAAUUGUCCAUUGAAGAGCAUGUCUACCUGCUAUACAAGGCGAUUCAAAUAACUCACCUCAAGUGGAAUAUGUUAACUUGUUUAUGUAAAGAACAAGUUCUUUUUUUUC
Non-coding RNA from Nelumbo nucifera (sacred lotus), 799 nucleotides. Lineage: Eukaryota; Viridiplantae; Streptophyta; Magnoliopsida; Proteales; Nelumbonaceae. The record is from RefSeq and is a predicted model, not a curated record.